This 45-nucleotide non-coding RNA is filed under the name Schistosoma mansoni. Lineage: Eukaryota; Metazoa; Platyhelminthes; Trematoda; Strigeidida; Schistosomatidae. The record is from RNAcentral.
AUGCAGCUGACUAGUCCCAAAUAAGACGAAUCACGUGUCCUGGAU